RNAcentral lists this transfer RNA (82 nucleotides) under Candidatus Spyradenecus faecavium. RNAcentral's name for it is "tRNA-Leu". It matches the Rfam family "tRNA". Rfam says of the family: Transfer RNA (tRNA) molecules are approximately 80 nucleotides in length. Their secondary structure includes four short double-helical elements and three loops (D, anti-codon, and T loops). Further hydrogen bonds mediate the characteristic L-shaped molecular structure. tRNAs have two regions of fundamental functional importance: the anti-codon, which is responsible for specific mRNA codon recognition, and the 3' end, to which the tRNAs corresponding amino acid is attached (by aminoacyl-tRNA synthetases). tRNAs cope with the degeneracy of the genetic code in two manners: having more than one tRNA (with a specific anti-codon) for a particular amino acid; and 'wobble' base-pairing, i.e. permitting non-standard base-pairing at the 3rd anti-codon position. Lineage: Bacteria; Pseudomonadati; Lentisphaerota; Lentisphaeria; Lentisphaerales; Lentisphaeraceae. The record is from RNAcentral.
GGGCCCGUGGUGGAAUCGGCAGACACGCAGGAUUUAGGUUCCUGUGCCUCGCGGCGUGAGGGUUCGACCCCCUCCGGGCCCA